RNAcentral lists this ribosomal RNA (893 nucleotides) under Calocera cornea. Its description in RNAcentral is "LSU rRNA". It matches the Rfam family "Eukaryotic large subunit ribosomal RNA", at positions 38 to 964 of the family's 3401-position model. Lineage: Eukaryota; Fungi; Basidiomycota; Dacrymycetes; Dacrymycetales; Dacrymycetaceae. The record is from RNAcentral.
GCAUAUCAAUAAGCGGAGGAAAAGAAACUAACGAAGGAUUCCCCUAGUAAACUGCGAGUGAAGCGGGAAAAGCUCAAAUUUAAAAUCCGUCCCCCCGACGGAGUUGUAAUCUAGAGAAGUGUUUUCGGCCGUUGACUUGGACAAGUCCCCUGGAACAGGGCGUCAUAGAGGGUGAUAAUCCCGUACUUACCAAGAUCCCAACGUCUAUGUGAUACACUCUCGAAGAGUCGAGUUGUUUGGGAAUGCAGCUCAAAAUGGGUGGUAAAUUCCAUCUAAAGCUAAAUAUUGGCGAGAGACCGAUAGCGAACAAGUACCGUGAGGGAAAGAUGAAAAGCACUUUGGAAAGAGAGUUAAACAGUACGUGAAAUUGCUAAAAGGGAAGCGCUUGAAGUCAGUCGCGUUUAAUGAGACUCAGCCUCACGGUGUAUUUCUCUUGAACGGGCCAACAUCGAUUUUGGGCGCGGGAAAAGGGUUUGGGGAAGGUGGCAACCUCGGUUGUGUUAUAGCCCCUUACCGUACACCGCGCCUGGGAUCGAGGACCGCGGCUUUGCCUAGGAUGUUGGCGUAAUGGCUUUAAGCGACCCGUCUUGAAACACGGACCAAGGAGUCUAACAUGUCUGCGAGUGUUUGGGUGUCAAACCCAUGCGCGUAAUGAAAGUAAAUGUAGGUGGGAGGCUUCGGCCGCACCAUCGACCGAUCCGGAUCUCUUGUGAUGGAUUUGAGUAAGAGCAUAUAUGUUGGGACCCGAAAGAUGGUGAACUAUGCCUGAAUAGGGCGAAGCCAGAGGAAACUCUGGUGGAGGCUCGUAGCGAUUCUGACGUGCAAAUCGAUCGUCAAAUUUGGGUAUAGGGGCGAAAGACUAAUCGAACCAUCUAGUAGCUGGUUCCUGCCGA